AUUGAACGCUGGCGGCAGGCCUAACACAUGCAAGUCGAGCGGAUGAACGGUGCUUGCUCGUGGAUUCAGCGGGGGAGUGGUGAGUGAGGCAUAGGAAUCUGCCUAGUUGUUUGUUAUAACGUCCUGAAACGGGCGCUAAUACGCCAUACGUGCAGAGGGAGAAAGGGGGGGAUCUUCGGACCUUACGCUAUCAUGUGAGCCUAGGUGGGAUUGGCUGGUUGGUUGGUUAAAGGCCUACCGAGGCGACGAUCCGUCACUGGUCUGAGGGGAUGAUAGGUCACACGGGAGCGGAGACACGGUCCAGACUCCUAAGGGAGGCAGCAGUGGGGAACAUUGGGCAAUGGGCGGAAGCCUGAUCCAGCGAGGCGGAGUGUGUGAAGAAGGCCUUCGGAUCGUGAAGCCCGUUUUGUGGGGGGGAAGCGCAGUAGGUUAAGACCAUGCUGUUGUGACGGUAACAAAUGAAUAAGCACCGGCUAACUUCGUG
RNAcentral lists this ribosomal RNA (484 nucleotides) under uncultured bacterium. Its description in RNAcentral is "partial 16S ribosomal RNA". It matches the Rfam family "Bacterial small subunit ribosomal RNA", at positions 30 to 507 of the family's 1533-position model. The record is from RNAcentral.